ACUUCAGUUCAAAUUCUGGAUCUUGGAGGCAACAAUUUUCAUGGCCAGAUUCCUCAUAUUGGCACAACGGAAUGCAACUUAAGGAUGCUUAAUCUAAAGUUCAAUAAGUUACAGGGACAAAUACCAAGAUCAUUGGCCAAUUGUGCCAAGCUUGAGUAUUUGGUUUUAUCAAACAAUGAAAUCAAUGACGUUUUCCCAUCAUGGUUAGGAUCACUCCAAGAGCUAAAGAUUCUCAGUCUGGGUUCUAAUCAACUCUAUGGUGUGUUGGGAAAUCAUAAAUCUAAUUUUGACUUCCCAAAGUUGCACAUCAUUGAUCUCUCUCAGAAUAAUUUUUCAGGGCAGCUGCCACAACAAUAUUUUCUCAGCUGGAAUGCAAUGAAGACGGUAGAUGCAAAUCAAUAUAUGGUUAGAGAAAUUACCAUUGAACUUUCAAAAGGGAACUCAGUGAAUUACACUUCUGUAUACGCAAUUUCAUUGAAAAACAAAGGUACAAAUUUGAUAUAUUCCGCGAUCCAACAAUCCUUGGUGGCCAUUGAUCUUUCGUGCAACAAAUUAGAAGGCGAAAUUCCAGACGUCGUUGGGAACUUAAAUGCUCUUCGUUUACUCAACUUUUCCAAUAACAAUCUUAGAGGUGGCAUUCCAUCAUCUUUGGGGAAUCUGACAAUGCUUGAAUCUUUGGAUCUUUCCCAAAACAAUCUGUCAGGAGAAAUUCCUCAACAACUAACUCAACUUAAUUUCCUUGCUGUUUUCAAUGUGUCUCAUAACCACCUUACAGGUCCUAUACCACAUGGGAAGCAAUUUGACACUUUUCUAAGCAAUUCAUAUGAAGCUAACUUGGAACUCUGUGGAAAUCCAAUGCCAAGGAAGUGUACAAGUUCUGAGGCACUGCCACCAUUACCUUCAAAGUCUGAAUCGUAACUACAUCAUUGUCCCGUAAGCUUCAACUGAAAGAAGGCAAAUCUGGAGAUGUACAUGGCGGCUGAUUUCAACAAGCCUGCGCUGAAUUAUAAACCAAAGUGGAAAAAUCUGUAAUGCAUUCACUUUAUGAAUCUACAUGGCAGCUGCUUUUUCAACAAGAGCCAGCAACCUACUAGGAAUUUACAUUUUUCACCCUCAACCCCCACACACCGUACAUAUAGGUAAAAAAAUGAAAACCAUGAAAAAUCAAAGA
This 1171-nucleotide unclassified non-coding RNA is filed under the name Hevea brasiliensis (rubber tree). Lineage: Eukaryota; Viridiplantae; Streptophyta; Magnoliopsida; Malpighiales; Euphorbiaceae. The record is from RNAcentral.